RNAcentral lists this ribosomal RNA (240 nucleotides) under uncultured bacterium. Its description in RNAcentral is "partial 16S ribosomal RNA". It matches the Rfam family "Bacterial small subunit ribosomal RNA", at positions 80 to 334 of the family's 1533-position model. The record is from RNAcentral.
CAAUCCAUGAGUAAAGCGGCGUACGGGUGAGUAACACGUGGGUAAUCUACCUUUUAGUGGGGAAUAACCCUGGGAAACCGGGGCUAAUACCGCAUAAUCCUGUAAAGGGAAAGCAGCAAUGCGCUGAAAGAGGAGCCCGCGGCCGAUUAGCUAGUUGGUGAGGUAACGGCUCACCAAGGCGGUGAUCGGUAGCCGGCCUGAGAGGGCACACGGCCACACUGGCACUGAAACACGGGCCAG